RNAcentral lists this ribosomal RNA (559 nucleotides) under uncultured bacterium. RNAcentral describes it as "bacterial SSU rRNA". It matches the Rfam family "Bacterial small subunit ribosomal RNA", at positions 120 to 674 of the family's 1533-position model. The record is from RNAcentral.
GGGGAUCUGCCCGAUAGAGGGGGAUAACCACUGGAAACGGUGGCUAAUACCGCAUAACGUCGCAAGACCAAAGAGGGGGACCUUCGGGCCUCUCACUAUCGGAUGAACCCAGAUGGGAUUAGCCAGUAGGCGGGGUAAUGGCCCACCUAGGCGACGAUCCCUAGCUGGUCUGAGAGGAUGACCAGCCACACUGGAACUGAGACACGGUCCAGACUCCUACGGGAGGCAGCAGUGGGGAAUAUUGCACAAUGGGCGCAAGCCUGAUGCUGCCAUGCCGCGUGUAUGAAGAAGGCCUUCGGGUUGUAAAGUACUUUCAGCGGGGAGGAAGGCGACGGGGUUAAUAACCGCGUCGAUUGACGUUACCCGCAGAAGAAGCACCGGCUAACUCCGUGCCAGCAGCCGCGGUAAUACGGAGGGUGCAAGCGUUAAUCGGAAUUACUGGGCGUAAAGCGCACGCAGGCGGUCUGUUAAGUCAGAUGUGAAAUCCCCGGGCUUAACCUGGGAACUGCAUUUGAAACUGGCAGGCUUGAGUCUUGUAGAGGGGGGUAGAAUUCCAGGU